AACACCCGUACCCAUUCCGAACACGAUGGUUAAGACUUAAGCGGCCGAUGGUACUAUGCUGGAGACGGCAUGGGAGAGCAGGUGGCUGCCGGAUU
RNAcentral lists this ribosomal RNA (95 nucleotides) under [Clostridium] clostridioforme 90A1. Lineage: Bacteria; Bacillati; Bacillota; Clostridia; Lachnospirales; Lachnospiraceae. The record is from RNAcentral.